RNAcentral lists this ribosomal RNA (730 nucleotides) under uncultured marine bacterium. Its description in RNAcentral is "bacterial SSU rRNA". It matches the Rfam family "Bacterial small subunit ribosomal RNA", at positions 76 to 787 of the family's 1533-position model. The record is from RNAcentral.
CCCUUCGGGGUACGAGUAGAGUGGCGGAAGGGUGAGUAAUGCCUAGAUAAUCUACCCUCGUGUUGGGGACAACAGCUGGAAACGGCUGCUAAUACCGAAUGAUACCUCGAAGUCGCAUGGCUACGAGGUGAAAGGUGGGUUUCGGCCUGUCACAUGAGGAGGAGUCUAGGUCCUAUCAGCUUGUUGGUGAGGUAAUGGCUCACCAAGGCUCUGACGGGUAGCCGGCCUGAGAGGGUGACCGGCCACACUGGGACUGAGACACUGCCCAGACUCCUACGGGAGGCUGCAGUCGAGAAUCUUCGGCAAUGGACGAAAGUCUGACCGAGCGACGCCGCGUGGAGGAUGAAGGCCUUCGGGUUGUAAACUCCUGUCAGGAGUUAAGAAAUCGUAGUCGGUCAAUACCCGGUUACGUUGACAAAGGCUCCAGAGGAAGUCAUGGCUAACACUGUGCCAGCAGCCGCGGUAAUACAGAGAUGGCAAGCGUUGUUCGGAAUUACUGGGCAUAAAGGGCACGUAGGCGGAUUGGACAGUCAGGUGUGAAAUCCCUCGGCUUAACCGAGGAACUGCGCCUGAUACUACCAGUCUUGAGGGCAGGAGGGGAGAGUGGAACUCUUGGUGGAGCGGUGAAAUGCGUAGAUACCAAGAGGAACGCCGGUGGCGAAAGCGACUCUCUGGCCUGUUUCUGACGCUGAGGUGCGAAAGCUAGGGGAGCAAACAGGAUUAGAUACCC